GGGGUUGUAGCUCAGUGGUAGAGUGUUCUCCUAGCACGUGCGAGACCCUGAGUUGGAUCCUCAGCACCACA
This 71-nucleotide transfer RNA is filed under the name Marmota monax (woodchuck). RNAcentral describes it as "tRNA.Ala". The record is from RNAcentral. Lineage: Eukaryota; Metazoa; Chordata; Mammalia; Rodentia; Sciuridae.